Molecule: ribosomal RNA, 437 nt
Filed under: Wolbachia endosymbiont of Aphis gossypii
Lineage: Bacteria; Pseudomonadati; Pseudomonadota; Alphaproteobacteria; Rickettsiales; Anaplasmataceae
Description: bacterial SSU rRNA
Rfam family: Bacterial small subunit ribosomal RNA
Source: RNAcentral
CAUACCUAUUCGAAGGGAUAGGGUCGGUUUGGCCGGAUUUCACACAGGUGUUGCAUGGCUGUCGUCAGCUCGUGUCGUGAGAUGUUGGGUUAAGUCCCGCAACGAGCGCAACCCUCAUCCUUAGUUACCAUCAGGUUAUGCUGGGGACUUUAAGGAAACUGUCAGUGAUAAACUGGAGGAAGGUGGGGAUGAUGUCAAGUCAUCAUGGCCCUUAUGGAGUGGGCUACACACGUGCUACAAUGGUGAUUACAAUGGGCUGCAAGGUCGCAAGGCUGAGCUAAUCCUAAAAAAUCAUCUCAGUUCGGAUUGUUCUCUGCAACUCGAGAGCAUGAAGUUGGAAUCGCUAGUAAUCGUGGAUCAGCAUGCCACGGUGAAUACGCUCUCGGGUCUUGUACACACUGCCCGUCACGCCAUGGGAAUUGGUUUCACUCGAAGCU